This 495-nucleotide ribosomal RNA is filed under the name uncultured bacterium. Its description in RNAcentral is "partial 16S ribosomal RNA". It matches the Rfam family "Bacterial small subunit ribosomal RNA", at positions 28 to 507 of the family's 1533-position model. The record is from RNAcentral.
GAUGAACGCUGGCGGCGUGCCUAAUACAUGCAAGUCGAGCGAACAGACGAGGAGCUUGCUCCUCUGACGUUAGCGGCGGACGGGUGAGUAACACGUGGAUAACCUACCUAUAAGACUGGGAUAACUUCGGGAAACCGGAGCUAAUACCGGAUAAUAUAUUGAACCGCAUGGUUCAAUAGUGAAAGACGGUUUUGCUGUCACUUAUAGAUGGAUCCGCGCCGCAUUAGCUAGUUGGUAAGGUAACGGCUUACCAAGGCAACGAUGCGUAGCCGACCUGAGAGGGUGAUCGGCCACACUGGAACUGAGACACGGUCCAGACUCCUAGGAGGCAGCAGUAGGGAAUCUUCCGCAAUGGGCGAAAGCCUGACGGAGCAACGCCGCGUGAGUGAUGAAGGUCUUCGGAUCGUAAAACUCUGUUAUUAGGGAAGAACAAAUGUGUAAGUAACUAUGCACGUCUUGACGGUACCUAAUCAGAAAGCCACGGCUAACUACGUG